UAGCUCAGUUGGUAAAGAAUCUGCCUGCAGUGCAGAAGACCCAGGUUCGAUCCCUGG
This 57-nucleotide transfer RNA is filed under the name Bos taurus (domestic cattle). It matches the Rfam family "tRNA", at positions 8 to 63 of the family's 71-position model. From Rfam's summary of the family: Transfer RNA (tRNA) molecules are approximately 80 nucleotides in length. Their secondary structure includes four short double-helical elements and three loops (D, anti-codon, and T loops). Further hydrogen bonds mediate the characteristic L-shaped molecular structure. tRNAs have two regions of fundamental functional importance: the anti-codon, which is responsible for specific mRNA codon recognition, and the 3' end, to which the tRNAs corresponding amino acid is attached (by aminoacyl-tRNA synthetases). tRNAs cope with the degeneracy of the genetic code in two manners: having more than one tRNA (with a specific anti-codon) for a particular amino acid; and 'wobble' base-pairing, i.e. permitting non-standard base-pairing at the 3rd anti-codon position. RNAcentral also lists the same sequence under 4 other names. Lineage: Eukaryota; Metazoa; Chordata; Mammalia; Artiodactyla; Bovidae. The record is from Rfam by way of RNAcentral.